AUCCAACAUAUAAUCAACGUUGUAAUUCUAAUAUUCCAUUGACAUUGACUUUAUGGUUCAGGACAGACAUUGAUUCAUCGUCAGGUUACAAGCAAAAUUCAACUUAGAAAGUAUAUACAAGUCAUGUCUUCAUCUUGGUGAACUUCCAACCACAACUCUUUGUAAUUUCCACGUCGACAUGUGACAUAUAACCAACGUUGUGAUUCUAACAUUCAGCUGACGUUGACUUUAUGGUUGACGAAAGGCGUUGGUUCACCGUCAGGUUACAACCAAAAUUCAACUUUUAGAGCAUAGGAGUCUUCAAAUUAGUGAAUUCCUAACAACUUUUCAAUGUGAUUUAUUGUCGGUAUAGGACGUAGAAGUGACGUUGUAAUCCUAUCGUUGAGUCGACGGUGAAUUUAUCGUGGAAGAAAGACGUUGGUUCAGCGUCAGGUUCCAACCACAUUUCAACGUACAAAAUAGGUCAGUUUUCAGAUCGGUGAAUUUUUAACGAGAUUUCAAUGUGAUUCCAACGUCGAUAUCUGACACAUGAUCAACAUUGAAAUUCUAACGUUGAAUUGACGUCGAUUUUAUGGUGUCCGACGUCAUGACCAAAUUUCUACAUAUUAUCAACGUCGGUUUGACGUCGUGUGCCUGCUGGGUUAUUCCUUAUUCCAACCUGUAUGAAGUUACUGUAAAAGAUAUUAUUUAUGUGAUUAUAUUUAGUAUGCCUAUGUGAAUGAGCUAUGUAGGAAAUAAUGUCGGAAAGUGUGCAUUACUUUAAAUAAGUAGCCUACUAUAAUCGCCUUCAAUGCUACAUUGCUUUUUUUUUUUAAUUGGUGCCUCCCCCCUGGAACAGCUGUUUGUCCGUAUUUUUAUUGGCACAACACUUCAGACACGAUAAUUAGUGCGUGGGGGCCAUCAGUCAGCUGUUAUUAUCGUUAUUAUAUUGAAUGAGACAUCCGAAAUGUUAGCUUUUAAGUCGUUAAAAGUACCCACGAGGACUUUUACAUUUUCAGCGACUCCUAUCAGUUAAGUCGCUUCUUCUAGCAGUAAACUUGGUUUGUCAACAUGGGGCGUGGCUUAGGCAGGCGAGGGGGCGGAGCUUCGGCCGCCAAGACGAGAUGCCAACUAGUCAGUUUCCCUCCGCUCCACAUGCAACCAUCUCUCUUUAUAACCUUAAAAUUGGUGACUCCUAGCAGUAAACUUGCGACUUCUAGAAGUUAGCAGCUAAGUUAGGAGGAAACUCUCUUUGAAAGUUGAAUUUCACUCCUAGGAGUCUUUAUUAAUACCGCCCCAGGUUAGAUUUUCAGGAUCAGCUAAUCUUCAGGUGUAACUACCAUUGAUUUUCAUUGUUGAUUAUAUGCAUCAAAAGAUAGGUAAAGAAUAUGGUUAUGUGACUGCAUUUUUCUCACCCUUUUUUCCCACUAACUUGGUCCUCCUUCCUCUCGUCUCCUUGUGAGGUGAUUGGAACUCCUCCUGUACUCUGUCAUAAAGCUUCACUGCUGGCAGCCCGGGAGUAACAGCACCUGGAAUCAGUUUAAUGAAACAAAUUACAAAUAGAGGAAAGUAAAAGAGCAUAAGCUUGGAAUUACCAUGCAAUGCUCUUAAUUCCACAUGUAAACAGAUUUAUUUUGAAACUGUUGUACAAAGAAUAAAAGGUAGUGCUAUGAUUGCUACCUAUACCAUUUUACAUGUUAAAGAAUAGAAAUUAAUAAAUGAAAAUAUAUAAAUUCAAAUAAGUACUGUGCACACAUUACUGUAUGAUGUAUACCAGGUAUACUGUAUGAUGAAGUACUGAGGGUGGGGUUAUGUCCUGUCUGGGACAUUGAAGUGGGAGUCCUGUUAAUAAUAAGUAGAAUAUUUCACUCGGAGAACACCCUGUUCACCCAGCACCACGCUACCCUACCCCAGCCCACACUGACUGUUUGUGCCUUCCUGCUGCCACAAAUCAAAUAAAAUUGAAAUUAAUGUAAUUAAACUAAACCUAACAUAAGCUAGCCUACCUAACGGGGGGCUUGCGCCCCCUUGACCCCACCCCUAAAGGGGGGUUUUCCCCCUCAACCCCCGUCAUCGCGUGCAAAAAUUCUGAAAUAAGCCUGUAGAUAAGUAACGAAGGAUUUGCCCAAGAAAUUAAUACCACCACUGAAAUCAGCACAACAGUCUGAGAUUGAAGGAGUGUUCUGAAAUUCUCUAUUGAACAACACACUCAGGGUAAAUCUUGACCGAAAUUUACAAUAUAGGAGCGUUCAUCCAUGACAUGAUGUGUAUAUAUGAAGUAUUUUUGUUGCUAUUUAUGAGAUAUUGAGGGCUUGCUGGGGGGUUUCAAGGGUUUCCGGGGGUUUUCAGGUUAACGUACUGCCCAUAUAAUGUUAUAAAUGUUACAGCUGUUAUUAUUAUUAAUUCCUGCAACCAUAAAUAAAAAGCAUACAAGCCAUUACUGUUGUGAUACAGUGAACUUACCGUACCCAACGGUAUUGUUUCUUGCAAGACACUUGAACCACACCAGGACAACUCCACAAAAAGGCACAGAAACCACUUACCACUAAUACACCAGGGGUGCCGGGCUUUCCCCUCCAAGCACCUCCCAGCGUUGCAAUGAUAAUCCUAACAGGCCUGAUAGUAAUACCUAUUUGUAAUCACCGUAGGAGGCGCUUAUCUUUCGAAGGGUUUCAAAAGAAGUGGUCUCUUGAAGUAAGUUCUGGAGGAGUCCUGUUGUCCUCGAGACUAAGUUUAAAUCAGCACUGCCGCGAGUUAAUAUGGGGCGAAAGCGCUGAGGUGUUGCUAGCUUGAGAGCAGGUGAUGUUGUGGGCCAAAAGCCAACACGUGGGUCUGAAGGGGUAUUUUGAAUUUCCCUCGCCAGAUGGCGUGGCUUUCGAUCAGUUAAAUUAUCUUUGCUCUGUAAUUAUAAUUCCGCAAGGGCAAUUAUUUAUUAUUUCAUGAAAGGAAACACUGAACUAUUGUUAUUCCUUUCAUGGUAAAUGUGUUUAGUCUUCAGGCAGUGAAUACGGUGAUACUGUCUCGGUCUGGAAGCCGAUGAGCGAUGUAAGUACCAUCCAAGGCUUGUUUGAGCUCAGACGAUACUCUUAGUUGGCUUGAACUCUUGGCCCGAGACUAGUUCCAUAAGGGAAAUAUUUAAUUUGUCUAAUCCCCUGGUUAACUGACCUAAUUCCUAACAUUACAGGGGGUGGUGCUUUUUACAGUAAAUUUCCCACAAAUCCCCAGCCAUUGACCUAGUCUAAUUUAGAAGUGUUCUAGGCCUAGGCCUACCAAUAUUAAAGGGAGGCUGUAUAAAUAGCCUGAGAAUUCAUAUAGUUACAGCACUGUAAAUCUAGCCACUUUGAAUACUAAGACUUUACUCACACUCUCACCCAUAAAAACUCAUUAACUUUUUAAAAAUUGGCAGUGGAGUUUUUAGCCGUUUGCGAUGCACAUAUAUGGCAUUCAAAAUGCAUAGAAUAAUGAGAUCUAACCCAUGGUUAGGGUAAGAAGUACCACAGUGAGACGGGGAACGUUAUGAAAUACAGGUAACUCGAUUUACGCGAGUAUUGUGUCCUUGAAGAGGUCGCGCAGAUCAAAAACAAUGUAAAUCAAACAGGAGGUAGGUUUGUACCUUUAUUGCCCACUGUAUCACUCUGCCUCCUCUCCCUCUCGUGGUUCCUCCUCUGGCUGCCCUUUCCCUCGUGGUAGCACAGCAGUGAGGGUGUUGUUAUUGUUGAGUAGCGUGGCAGGGAGGGUACUGUAUUGUUGUUCAAGUGUCGCGCGGGAACAACUGAGCUCAGCUGUGUGGCCGCGGCACCGUGUGAGUCCAGUUGCGUGAGACAUCUGGUGGCCACUCCAUAAAAUAUCUUGUAUAAGUGAAAAAAACGUGUAAAUGAAACAUUUAUUUUGAUUUUGAACCCUGCGUUAUUUAAAAAACGCAUAAACCAAACUCGCGCAAAUCGAGUUACCUGUAAUACCUGCGGGUAUUGUUGGGUAUAUACCCCAAGGUUGGGGGGCAGUGCAUGCUGCACAACCACCCAGACAGUAAUAGAUAAGCCCAAUGCCAUAAGUUUAAGGCCAACACUCAGGCUGGGGUGAAGGAAAGAUCCCGGGGGCCUAUCCUCUCCACCUCAAAGGGUCAGGGUGGGGCUCUAACCUAUGCGAUGCAACACCCUGGCAAGCCAGUGUCACUGAGCCACUGAGGCCCAUUCUCUCUAAGUUAUAUAUAGAUUUGCGGUACCUACGUACCUAUACGUACACUAGCGUAUUUAACAUACAGUAUACCAAGCCUGGGUUCACAAAAUUUUCAAAGUGACUCAUGGCCACCCCUACCCCUGCACUAGUUUUCGAGAUAACCAUUAAAGCACCAGUAUAAUUUCAUAGUUUAGUAGACCACAGUGAACAUGAUGCUUGCAUCUAAUGGUACGAAUCAAAUUACAUACCUUUGUUGGGUGAAAUGCGGUAUCUGUUGCUCACACCACAAGUGACCAGUCUUGUUGUUGCUAUGGGCUGAGGCAACUAUUCACUUACAUGAUCUCUGGUGUUUUCCUGAGAGGGCUUCACAGGCGCGUCUUCCUGAGGAAGGUGCAGGUGGGGCGGGUGGCCGCUACUUCCUGCCGUGAGGGGUGGACGCCUGCCGCUGCCAGCAGGGUGGGCAGGUCGAAGGAGGGCAUGUCCAGGACACGGAGGUGGUGUCAUGGCAGCACCCACUGGGAGUGGAGGUGGGGCAGUGCAGCAAGUGCUCAGUGGUCUCCUUGACGGUCCUGCACCAGGGUCAGUGAGGGUCGGGGGCCAGGCCAGGCGGUGGAGGUGACCAUUGUGAGGCCCAGGCGGAGGCCCGUACGUCAGGGCCACCACGUCUGAGACGCAAUACGUUAUCCUCACCCACAGCUGUGUGGAGGAGUUGAUGAUGCUGGCCCAUGGAGGUGGUGUGGAGGGCGGUGACCAGUGACCAGAAGUCCACCAUUAGCCCUGCCUGCUCAAACCUAACUGCAUGCCAUGGACCAAUACAAAACAAAGCUUCAAUGCACUUUAUCAUUUUGUAAUAUGGCAAUAAUAUAAUGAUACAGAAAUUUUUUUUUUAAGAGUAUGGCAACUGACACUUAAACAUACAUCCAUACACAUAUUUUACAUAAUAUGACUUGAGAUACUACUUUCUUGUGUGGAUGUAUAUAUGUGUACUGUGAUCCUUAAGCCCGCCAAGUUUAAAGUGCGAUUUGCCAAUGAUCACGCACAAUUUGAUGGCAUUUUUCAUAAGUUACCUAAUAUAAACUAUUAAAUAGUGUGUGUAUUGUAAUUAUAUAUGCUUAUGUUGGUUAUUUGGAGGCAGACGUUCAAAGUACAUGAAACAAACAGUUUUCUGCUAUACGCAGGACGCAAACUCGAAAAAUAACUAUCACACGCCCUAAACAAACAUUUCAUUUAGGGUUUGCAAGAGUUUACUUCUGUGCUGGAGGCUUAUAUAUAUUUUUUUACCGCACGUACCAUUUUUACGUAGUCAUUGAAAAUAAAUAUAUUUCAACAACUUAAAUUAUAACUGUGUAGUGCUAUAUAAAAAUAUAGUAUGAAUUACAUUUUAAGGAAACCAGUUUAAUUAGCUUGAAAAAGAUUGAUUGAUGGUGUAUUGUUGCAAAGUUAUACAAAAAAGGAGAAGAGAGGAACCUGCCAUCCCAUCCCCUGGGCAAUACGUAGUGUGACUGUACAACUAUUGAUAUUGUAACGUCUUUUUUUUAAGGGCAAUGCUACAUUCCUUCUGACGGCCACUGUUUAGAUGGUAAUGUGGUAGCGGGGUGGUUGUCUGGCUAUUUCCAAGUGGUUGUCAAUGAUGUUGAGACAAGCCUCAGGACAAGUGAACACUCGUUCUGGGUUGUGAUGUGCAGUAAUGAUGGAAGGGGAGUGGAUUCCCGUGUGAACCACUCUGAGACAACGUUUAGUUAAGGGGGGAGUGGUGAUAAUUCACUAAUGUGCGUGUGUGGGUGUGUGUUCAGUAAUGCCCAAAUGGCAGGUUGACAGGCUUAAAAUUAUAGCACUUACAGUAACUUAACAACUUUUCUUGUGUAUGAAUAUAGUUACAGCCCCUUGGCAGUUAGCGGAGUGACAUUUUUAAAUGAAUACAUACAUAAAUGAAUAUUAUUGAACUUAACUAACUAUCUAUCAGGGAGAUUGGGGAACAUGUGAAUGUUUAUCUGUAUUGAAGACCCUUGAAGUGAUGACUGGUGCAGGAUGAAGGCACUGGUGCGAGUGAGGUGCUGGCGGGUGUAGACUGCCAGGGCCGGUAACUGUAGCAGCGUUGUUGACGAGGCUAGGGUUGUGUUGUUUAAGAGCUGAGACGUGGUUGAAGAGGCCGUGGAGGUGGUUAUGAGCUGAGCGUGAUUGAAGAGGCCAAGGAUGGGGUUAUGGGCUGAGCGUGAUUGAAGAGGCUGAGGAUGUGGUUAUGGGCUGAGUGUGAUUGAAGAGGCCGAGGAUGUGGCUAUGGGCUGACUGUGAUUGAAGAGGCCGAGGAUGUGGUUAUGGGCUGAGGCGUGUUGUGGUGCUGCUUCUGUCCUUCUUGUUUCGCUUUGCCAAAUCGUGCUUUGUUUCGCCUUGCCUUGCCUUGCCUUGCCUUGCCUUGCCUUGCCUUGCCUUGCCUUGCCUUGCCUUGCCUUGCCUUGCCUUGCUGUGCUCUGCUGUGCCUUGCCUCGCCUUUGCCGUGCUGGUGGUGGUUGGUGGUGUUCACAGGGCUGUGAUGGAUGGUCAAGCAAAACGUGCGUCCUGUUGACGGCUCUUCGGCUCCUUCUCUCCCCGUGUGCCUCGCCUUGCCUCCAUUCACACCCUCAUUCACACCAAUAAUCUCUACUUAUCACACACACUUGUUCACCCGUCCACACAGUCGCUCACUUAAUUGCUCGUUUGUUGUAAUGUAGUCAUUCACUCACUUGCAUUCCAUACUAACUCACUCAAUACACAUUUGUACCGUUACAAUAUAUUCACAUUCAAACUUUAUUUUUUGUCCUCCAGCCCAUAAUUUGAACAAAGAAAACUUUAGAAUUGAUGGUACAUGUACCACUAAAGCAAUAUUCUUUGAAAAAAAUAAAAAUAACCUUAACUAGUCCUUAUAACAUUGUCACAUUUUUUGUUGCUGUUAGCUGCAACAAUCCAUUCUACUUACAUACAGCAUCUAUACAUUACUGGCAUAAGCACCGUAAAGAAGCAUAUUGUUGACUGUUGGCGAAAAUUUGACUAAAACCUUUUAGAACAUAUAACUAUUUUUAUGUGCAUAAUGCAGUGUGCAUUUUUAAGCUCUAGCUUAAAAAGGCACACUGCAGUAUGCAUAUGAAAAUAAUACGUGAGAUAAAGCUCAGAGAAAAGAGUAUGUAGAUUAAAAAAAAUAAAAAAAUGUAACUGAUAAUAACAUCACACCACAGCAUUUUAAAAUUGGUUGGAAAAUUUGCUGUUUUUACAUGACCCAAUAAAUAUUAUUUACAUUAUAUUGAUAACAUUUUCUCAAAAUUAUUACCCAUUCAUGUGUCCUACCUAUCAUGUUUAGGUGUUUUUAAUGCAAAAAAUAAUGUCUCCGGUCUUGACACAAGACAAGGCUUCUUUUUUUGAGUUACUGAUAUAUCAGCAACUUCAAAAAAUAUCAGUUACUGAUAUAUCAGUAACUGAUAUAUCAGCAACAUGGCGGCAGAAAUUAAGAGGUAAAAGACUGUCAUUAAGAAAGCUGAUGAAAUGGAGAGACUUAGACUUUACACUGUCCAAGAGAGCUGUGUGUGUGUGUGUGUGUGUGUGUGUGUGUGUGUGUGUGUGUGUGUGUGUGUGUGUGUGUGUGUGUGUGUGUGUGUGGAGCCCCCUAAGGCAUAAGAUGUAUACUCCAUACAAGGGCGGACAAGACUCUUGUAUAUGGAUAACAUCUAGAAGGGGGAAAAGAACUGGCGGAGACAAUACAGAAUGCCCAACCUUGAGGAAGCUGAUUUAGUGAGAGAAGAGAUAUGAUGUUUUGCAGGUGAGGUUUUGAGUUAAGGAUAGACCGAGGAUGUUUUUUGUAGAAGGUGAUAGUUGUGUUGUUGAAGAAUAGGGGAUAGGCGUUUGGAAGAUUGUAUUGAGUUGAUAAGUGGAGAAAUUUGUUUUUUGAGGCGUUGGAAGGACACUAAGGGCCGCUUUCAUGGUCACUUUGUUUGUUAUGAUCGUUACCAAUUGUGGCGAUCACCGCUAUAGAAUGUCCACUUAAAACUGGCCGAUGGGGUAGUGGCGGCUGUGGGGUUAUCCCAGCCCCGCUCCUCACCACACACUCUCAACACCUCUUGCUUCCUCUGCAGCCGUCACUACCCCAUAGGCCAGUUUCAUGUGAAAAACUAUAGUGUUGAUUGGCGCCAUUGGUAACGAUCAAAACAAACAAAACGACUGUGAAAGCAGCCCUAAGUUCUUCUUGUCCCAAUCAGAAAUGAUAGUAAGGUCUGAGGUUAAGCGUUUUGCAGCCUCCAGCCUUGAGUCAUGUAGUUCCUGUUGGGAGGAUUUUCUAUUAGAUGUUGAAUAAUGCAGAUUAGAGUCAUCAGCAUAGAAAUGGAUAGAACAGUUUGUUUUGGAAAAAGAUCAUCAAUGGACAAAGAGAGUGGGAGAUUGGACAGAGCCCUGCAGGACACCACCUUUGAUAGGUUUUUGGGAAGAACACUGAUUGUUUACCACUACUACUCCUACUGUUGUGAAUUCCUAGAGUCUUCAGUGCAUUGGUGUUCAUGUCACCUUCGGCGUCCUCCAUCCCGAUCUUUGGCUGUUCUAAAUCAUUCUCUCAUUACCUUCUCCAUCACAGCUGUAGUAGCAUUCCUGUAUUCAAAAUGCCUAUGGGUACAUUCUGGAAAUUAAUCAGUCAAAGACGGGGACAAGCCAGCAAAGGGUGCGGGCAAGCCAGCCAAGGACGUGGGCAAGCCAGCCAAGGACGUGGGCAAGCCAGCCAAGGACGUGGGCAAGCCAGCCAAGGACGUGGGCAAGCCAGCCAAGGACGUGGGCAAGCCAGCCAAGGACGUGGGCAAGCCAGCCAAGGACGUGGGCAAGCCAGCCAAGGACGCGGGCAAGCCAGCCAAGGACGGAGGAGUACCAAGGGGGCCGUCUUAACAUUUUCAUGGUAUCCACAUGCAUGUAGCUGACACAACACUGAUCGGUUUUAAUUUACACUACUUGUUAAGACAUUUCAGGUGAUUUUUACGUGCUGUGUGUGGAACCGUAUCUAGUUUCCCUUAGGCUGUUGAAUUUUAUUCAAGUGUGUGUGGAUGUUUAAUAUUUUUCCUGAAUUGUGAACAUUGUUCGCAUUUUAAGUAUAGUCAUUCAUUUUGUUUUCUCCUUUCUUGUGUGUGUUUUGUUGCACAGUGGAGAAGGUAGUUUUAUCAUGCUAAGUAUUCACUCAUUAUUCUUUUCCCUCUUUUUAAUGCGAUUUGGAAGCAUCUGGGGUGAGUGAGCACACACCUAGCGGUGAAUGAUCAUUACCUUUAGUGCAGUUUAGCGGUAAUACUUUUCCUUUUACCAUAUUCCUCCUCAUGAAGCCUUAAUUUACUAAUGCCUCUUUUUAAAUGGCAGAGAAACCUGACCCGGAGUUAGAAGCUUUGGCCAAGGUAUAUCAGAAGUUGGUAAAGGAGUCGGAAGAGACCGAUGAGGAUGAGAGAGUUCCUCCUCCUCCUCCUCCUCCUCCUCCUUCCCACCUGCAUCAUAACAAAGGUACAGUGAGCCCAGUGUGAUGAUGAUGACCCAGCCCUCGGUGUCUUGGCCCAUGCUGUCUCCACACCACCAGUUGGCAUUCUGAAGAAGAAUGAAUAGAGGAAAUGAAAGUGAAUGCAUCUAAAUACCAUGUAAUUUAUAAAUGCAUGAUUAAGAAAAUAUAUGGAUGUGUGUAUGUGAAUGUCUGUAUGUUGGAUAAGCUUUCAUGCAGUUAUGCAUGAAUGCAUACAUGUUUGCAUAAAUGUAUGUAUGUUUGCAUGUAAGUGUGCCUGGAGCUUUUUGCAUUUAACCUUACCUAACUGAACCCAAAUACCAGUGUCCUUGUCCCUGGCCUACUCUGCCAGUGGAAAAUUAUUGGAGUGAUGAAUAGCACUGAUACUACGAUCGCUACCUCUACUAUUACAGCUACAACCAGUAACAUGAACAAUCAAAAUAAUAAUUAUAAAAAUAAUAGUACCAUUAAUAAUAACAGGAAUAGGAAGAACAAGAACACUAAUAAUAAUAAUAAUAGUAAUUAUAAUGAUAGUAAUAAUAAUAAUAAUAAUAAUAAUAAUAAUAAUAAUAAUAAUAAUAAUAAUAAUAAUAAUAAUAAUAAUAACUAACAAAAUCAGUAACAAAAUCAAUAAUAAUAAUGAUGAUAAUAACAACAACAACAACAACAACAACAAUAAUGACAACUGUGGUGUAGAGUCAUACUCUUGAUUUGGUUUGUCUUGGCUUUGUUGACAUUCACAGGGUUGCUUAAUUUUGACACAGUAUUGUGUCUUUUUUUUUAAACUGCUUGUUGGGAUCUGUUCCACCCAAAUUUUUUUUUAAGUAAUUGAUGAUGUCAUUUUUGAAAUUGGACAUUGUUUGAAUUAGUAAAGUUUUUCCUGCACCUUUGAAUGUCGGUAAUUGUGAAAAAUGAGAUAACGUGGUCCCCUUGUAUUUGAAUUAUGGGGAGUGUUUCUUCCUUGAAUAUGGCCAUUUUCCCAUAAAAUCUGUCAUGUUGUCUUGUUGCCAUCUUGUUUUUGCCUUCAGAAAUCAGGAUUUCAAGAGAUCUAUUUCUUUUUCUUUUGAGCUGUUCUGCCUUGUAUUGCUUCUUUGGUUUUCCUUGGUACUUACACUAAGAUGCUUCACUUAGUUAGUCUGUUUUAGCAAGCAUUUGGUUCUGUGCAUGUGUAGAUCAGGACUGGGCAGACCAAAUGAAG
Eriocheir sinensis (Chinese mitten crab) is the source of this 10835-nucleotide long non-coding RNA. RefSeq lists it as uncharacterized. Lineage: Eukaryota; Metazoa; Arthropoda; Malacostraca; Decapoda; Varunidae. The record is from RefSeq and is a predicted model, not a curated record. The transcript is spliced from 2 exons.